This 300-nucleotide unclassified non-coding RNA is filed under the name Chaetothyriales sp. Its description in RNAcentral is "partial contains 5.8S ribosomal RNA, internal transcribed spacer 2, and large subunit ribosomal RNA". The stretch from base 1 to 71 matches the Rfam family "5.8S ribosomal RNA", at positions 84 to 154 of the family's 154-position model. Lineage: Eukaryota; Fungi; Ascomycota; Eurotiomycetes; Chaetothyriales. The record is from RNAcentral.
GUGAGUCAUCGAAUCUUUGAACGCACAUUGCGCCCAUUGGUAUUCCGAUGGGCAUGCCUGUUCGAGCGUCAUUAUCCUCCCUCAAACCUCGUGUUUGGUGUUGGACCGCGUUGGUCGAGCGACCAACUGGUCUCAAAGACAAUGACGGCGUCCGUGGGACCCUCGGUGCAACGAGCUUUUUAACGAGCACGCGUCGAGUUGCAAGGACCCUCCGGGCCGGUCUUGACCUCUAUCUUCUUAGGUUGACCUCGGAUCAGGUAGGAAUACCCGCUGAACUUAAGCAUAUCAAUAAGCGGAGGA